RNAcentral lists this ribosomal RNA (399 nucleotides) under uncultured bacterium. RNAcentral describes it as "bacterial SSU rRNA". It matches the Rfam family "Bacterial small subunit ribosomal RNA", at positions 30 to 430 of the family's 1533-position model. The record is from RNAcentral.
AUUGAACGCUGGCGGCAUGCUUUACACAUGCAAGUCGAACGGUAACAGGGAGCUUGCUCCGCUGACGAGUGGCGAACGGGUGAGUAAUGCAUCGGAACGUACCGUGUAAUGGGGGAUAACGUAGCGAAAGUUACGCUAAUACCGCAUACGCCCUGAGGGGGAAAGUGGGGGACCGCAAGGCCUCACGUUAUACGAGCGGCCGAUGUCGGAUUAGCUAGUUGGUGGGGUAAAGGCCUACCAAGGCGACGAUCCGUAGCGGGUCUGAGAGGAUGAUCCGCCACACUGGGACUGAGACACGGCCCAGACUCCUACGGGAGGCAGCAGUGGGGAAUUUUGGACAAUGGGGGCAACCCUGAUCCAGCCAUGCCGCGUGAGUGAAGAAGGCCUCGGUUGUAAGUA